This 198-nucleotide ribosomal RNA is filed under the name uncultured bacterium. RNAcentral describes it as "partial 16S ribosomal RNA". It matches the Rfam family "Bacterial small subunit ribosomal RNA", at positions 328 to 539 of the family's 1533-position model. The record is from RNAcentral.
ACGCUCGACACCUACGGGGGGCAGCAGUGGGGAAUACUGCACAAUGGGGGAAACCCUGAUGCAGCGACGCCGCGUGAGCGAAGAAGUAUUUCGGUAUGUAAAGCUCUAUCAGCAGGGAAGAAACUGACGGUACCUGACUAAGAAGCACCGGCUAAAUACGUGUCAGCAGCCGCGGUAAUCUGAGCGGGCUGGCAAGGC